UACGGGGGGGGUAAGCGUUGUUCGGAAUUACUGGGCGUAAAGGGCUCGUAGGCGGCCAACUAAGUCAUACGUGAAAUCCCUCAGCUUAACUGGGGAACUGCGUGUGAUACUGGAUGGCUUGGAUUUGGGAGAGGGAUGCGGAAUUCCAGGUGUAGCGGUGAAAUGCGUAGAUAUCUGGAGGAACACCGGUGGCGAAGGCGGCAUCCUGGACCAAUAUUGACGCUGAGGAGCGAAAGCUAGGGGAGCAAACGGGAUUAGAUACCCCGGUAGUCCUAGCCCUAAACGAUGAAUGCUUGGUGUAGCGGGUAUCGAUCCCUGCUGUGCCGAAGCUAACGCAUUAAGCAUUCCGCCUGGGGAGUACGGUCGCAAGGCUG
This 374-nucleotide ribosomal RNA is filed under the name uncultured prokaryote. RNAcentral describes it as "bacterial SSU rRNA". It matches the Rfam family "Bacterial small subunit ribosomal RNA", at positions 524 to 896 of the family's 1533-position model. The record is from RNAcentral.